AAGGAGCACUUGUCCAACCUGCCGGCACUUGUGUGGUGUUGGUGUGGUUCAGGGUUUCGGUCUACGGGGCCGUGGGUGCCUCGGACCGGUGCUCGCAAAUCGUGGAACACUGGCUAGUCAACCUGCCUGGGUUGCUGCCCGGUCAGUACUACCCGCAUCCGACGGUGUCGGAUGGCUCCUCUUGACUGAGGGGUCGGAGCCUUGCUUCUGUGCUGGGUUGGGCACGCUGUUGGGUCCUGACCUCGGUGUCGGGGGCUUGGUGGGUUGGGCACACUGUUGGGUCCUGAGGAAACGGGCCUCUUUGGGGGUUGGUUUUCUCGGACUGUUCGGGCCCACGUGCCUGGCGCUCUGCUGGUGUGGGUGGUGUGUGGUUUGCCCGGGUUGGUUUUUUGUGAAACUGCAUAGUGGACGCGAGCAUCUGGUGAUUGCCCGACACCUGGUUCCUCCUUUUUUUGUGAGGUUUUGU
This 466-nucleotide unclassified non-coding RNA is filed under the name Thermomonospora curvata. Its description in RNAcentral is "partial 16S-23S ribosomal RNA intergenic spacer region". Lineage: Bacteria; Bacillati; Actinomycetota; Actinomycetes; Streptosporangiales; Thermomonosporaceae. The record is from RNAcentral.